AUUCGUCACACUAUCAUUAACUGAAUCCAUAGGUUAAUGAGGCGAACCGGGGGAACUGAAACAUCUAAGUACCCCGAGGAAAAGAAAUCAACCGAGAUUCCCCCAGUAGCGGCGAGCGAACGGGGAGGAGCCCAGAGCCUGAAUCAGUGUGUGUGUUAGUGGAAGCGUCUGGAAAGGCGCGCGAUACAGGGUGACAGCCCCGUACACAAAAAUGCACAUAUUGUGAGCUCGAUGAGUAGGGCGGGACACGUGGUAUCCUGUCUGAAUAUGGGGGGACCAUUCUCCAAGGCUAAAUACUCCUGACUGACCGAUAGUGAACCAGUACCGUGAGGGAAAGGCGAAAAGAACCCCGGCGAGGGGAGUGAAAAAGAACCUGAAACCGUGUACGUACAAGCAGUGGGAGCCUCUUUAUGGGGUGACUGCGUACCUUUUGUAUAAUGGGUCAGCGACUUAUAUUCUGUAGCAAGGUUAACCGAAUAGGGGAGCCGAAGGGAAACCGAGUCUUAACUGGGCGUUAAGUUGCAGGGUAUAGACCCGAAACC
This 542-nucleotide ribosomal RNA is filed under the name Escherichia coli. RNAcentral's name for it is "partial 23S ribosomal RNA". It matches the Rfam family "Bacterial large subunit ribosomal RNA", at positions 138 to 722 of the family's 2925-position model. Lineage: Bacteria; Pseudomonadati; Pseudomonadota; Gammaproteobacteria; Enterobacterales; Enterobacteriaceae. The record is from RNAcentral.